Molecule: long non-coding RNA, 336 nt
Filed under: Paramuricea clavata
Lineage: Eukaryota; Metazoa; Cnidaria; Anthozoa; Malacalcyonacea; Plexauridae
Source: RNAcentral
CAUAGAUAUCUUAUAUACACUAGAUAGCGCAUCUAUUUUAGUAAAAUUGAAGCCAAGAAUAUUCCAGCGGUUACCCCCAUUUGAAUAGAUGGCGGCCAUGUUGGUCGUUCCCACUUCCUAGUAAACGCUUAAAAACAACAAUAACUUUCAUCAUUUGAAUAGUUUAAAAACGUAUUUGGAAUAGGGUUAACUUCAUGUUUAAGUUCCGUGUUUAAGAAAUAGAAAAUAUACGAAUCUUCUCAUUUCAUGGGAACGACCUGAGUCUGCAAUCACGGCUUCAAUUUUUGAAUUGCAGAAUAAUUAGAUGCACUAUCUAGUGUAGAUAAGAUAUCUAUG